GGAAAAGCGCAUUUAUUAGAACAAAACCACGCGGCUUCGGCUGCUUCUUGUUGACUCAGAAUAACUUAGCUGACCGCAUGGCCUUGUGCCGGCGGCGUGUCUUUCAAGCGUCCACUUUAUCAACUUGACGGGAGCAUAAUCGACUCCCGUGGUGGUGACGGAUAACGGAGGAUCAGGGUUCGACUCCGGAGAAGGGGCCUGAGAAAUGGCCACUACGUCUAAGGAUGGCAGCAGGCGCGCAAAUUACCCACUCUCGGCUCGAGGAGGUAGUGACGAGAAAUAACGAGACUGUUCUCUUUGAGGCCGGUCAUCGGAAUGGGUACAAUUUAAACCCUUUAACGAGUAUCAAGCAGAGGGCAAGUCUGGUGCCAGCAGCCGCGGUAAUUCCAGCUCUGCAAAUACAUAGAAUUAUUGCUGCGGUUAGAAAGCUCAUAGUUGGAUUCGUAUCGAUACCUUGGAACCCUUCGGGUGUCUCUAGGUGUUAUCGAUUUAUCGUAAUGUUCGGUUUUGAGUCCUUAACAGGAUUCUUAACAGGCAUUGCAAGUUUACUUUGAACAAAUCAGAGUGCUUCAAACAGGCGUUUUCGCUUGAAUGAUCGUGCAUGGAAUAAUAGAAAAUGAUUUCGGUUCAGUUUUAUUGGUUUUACGGACUGAGAUAAUGGUUAACAGAGACAAACGGGGGCAUUUGUAUGGUCCCGUGAGAGGUG
This 706-nucleotide ribosomal RNA is filed under the name Meloidogyne incognita (southern root-knot nematode). Its description in RNAcentral is "SSU rRNA". It matches the Rfam family "Eukaryotic small subunit ribosomal RNA", at positions 195 to 913 of the family's 1831-position model. The record is from RNAcentral. Lineage: Eukaryota; Metazoa; Nematoda; Chromadorea; Rhabditida; Meloidogynidae.